UUGCAGUGUCAGCAUAUAUACUAAAAUUGGAAACCAUACAGAGAAAAUUAGCAUAGCCCUGGACAAAGAUGACAGCAAUUUCCUGAAGUGUUUUAAAUUUUU
Molecule: small nuclear RNA, 102 nt
Organism: Sorex fumeus (smoky shrew)
Lineage: Eukaryota; Metazoa; Chordata; Mammalia; Eulipotyphla; Soricidae
Source: RefSeq, a predicted model, not a curated record